This 87-nucleotide transfer RNA is filed under the name Streptomyces thermocarboxydus. RNAcentral describes it as "tRNA-Arg". Lineage: Bacteria; Bacillati; Actinomycetota; Actinomycetes; Kitasatosporales; Streptomycetaceae. RNAcentral also lists the same sequence under 1 other name. The record is from RNAcentral.
AGGCGGGUACCGGACGGCACCGGAGGCCGCUUGCGGACCGGCACCUGAGACGUGGGCGGCACCGGUUCGCGUCCGGUGCCACCUGCC